AUGAAUUGGCAGGAGGCUUUGUUGCACGUGGUCUCUCAGAAACUCAGGCUGUUGGAAGUUGCACCAUCUUGUAAUUGCACCCAGUGGCAAAGAGCAACCAAAGAACCAAACGAAGACCCAGAUCUACUGUUAGCUGAAGCUCAGCGAAGAACCACAGAUCGUGAGGCCAGACUGUAGGAACUCAACGUCAGGAUUCUUAUGUACGGUCCCAGGAGAACUCCAGAAGGACUUGGAGAACACAGACAACUUCUGCAGAUGCACCACGACAAUGGCUCUCACUUUCUGUGUUAGCUGUUAUCUCAGUGUCACAUUGAUAACAAUGGUAGUAAAAGAAGUAAACACUUACCCAGUAUUUAAGAGGUGCCUGGCCAUUCUAAGAGCUUAUUUACUUUGGUUUAUUUAAUCCUCAUGUACAAGAUGAUGAGGUACAUUUUCUACUGUACCCACUUUACAAGUAAGAAAAUGGAGGCCCAUAUCAGGUGAGUAAUUUGCCUACAUCUGGUAAAAUUUGUAGUUAUGACUAUAUGACCUGCUGAUACUUAUAUUUAUAAUUCUUUUUAAUAUAUAUUUAUAAUUUGUAACGUGUUUGUUUAACUGCUUAAUUUUAUUUUUAUUUUAUUUUAUUUUAUUUU
RNAcentral lists this long non-coding RNA (632 nucleotides) under Callithrix jacchus (white-tufted-ear marmoset). Its description in RNAcentral is "lncRNA (ENSCJAG00000078848.1)". The record is from RNAcentral. Lineage: Eukaryota; Metazoa; Chordata; Mammalia; Primates; Cebidae.